GGUAUCCGAAGCGUAAAAAGUUCCACGGCCUCAAAAUCCCAUAUAAACUUACAUUCUACACUUACUUAACCCAGACUAAAAAAAUUAAAAAAAGAAAACAUGGGAGAGGAAGAAAACUUACACAAGUGAAACGAGUAAACUGAAAUAGUAAAAGCCAUUUAUUUCGCAAAACUUGAAUUGCUGAAUCUAAUAGGUAUAAUCCGUACCAUCGGAAUCAACUUAAAAGAUUGAGCAAUGUACAGCAAAUUUAUGUGUAUAUAUGUGCGCAUAUGGCUGCAUGAAUAGUUUAGAAACAACAUGCGCAAAGAAAGCACAUAGCAAAGAGGAAAAGGUAUAAAGACUUGAAAAAACAGCAUGUUAUGCUAGUCAAAUCAUUACAAACAAAAUCAAAGAAAACAUAACGCAAACACUUCAGUGGCAUAGUCGAUCACACAAUAAUAUCCAAAGUGAUAUAAUGGAAAGCAAUUAAAUACGAAAAAAAAAAUCCUUAAAUACAAAGAUGGAGAUUUUUUAAAAUUAAGACUACCCAAACCAACUUAUGGAAACUAAUGAGUGAUUUGAAAAGAAAAAGACUGGAAUACAAAACAGCAAAAUAAUGAACGAUCGAUUGUUAGAUCAACAAUUCGGCUUUAUUGUCGAAUAAUUAAACAUCAAUAAUCCAAUUUCAAACAAAUAGCCCAGCAACACUCAUUCACUCACUCAAAUCAUCAUCAUCAUCAUCAUCAUCGACACCGUCAUGUCGCUAAAAGGUGAAUUUUUCAACAUACAAAAAUAAAAGACGGAAAUCAAACAUAUGCCCAAUGCUUCCAGGUAAACCCUAGUGGAACAGUUUGCCAAAAGACUUUUUCAUACGUUUGAACCAAGACUUCUUGGGAGCUGCUUCACCAUCAGUGGCGGUUUGUGCCUUUCCAUCAGCCGUCUCAUUCUCAGCUGUCGCAGUGGCACCAGCAGCAGGAGCUGGCUUGGUAGUGCCGGCAGCAUGUUCCUCAGUAGCAGAAACAGGAGUAGGUUUGGUGGUGGCAGAACCAGGAGUAGGUUUGGUGGUGGCAGAACCAGGAGAAGGUAUGGUGGUAGCAGAACCAGAACCAGCAGCAUGUUUAGACUCGACGGUAUCAGCAGAAGUCGGGAUAGGAGCAGCAGCUUCAAUAGCGGACUUCUUUCCUCCUGGUACAGCAGCCGACGUAGUACCGGGACUGGAGGGAGCAGAUGCUUGUUUUGAAGGUCUACGUGCAUGCUUGGAGGACUGGGCUGAUUUGGCAGGCGUGGAAGGAGUCGUUGGCUCUUGUCCAGUAGAAGAGGGUUUCCUGGCAACCUUAUGUUUCUCGGCGGACGCCUUGUCAUGUUUUGACACCCUUUUGGAAGCAGUGGUGGUUUCCUUGGAGAAAUCAUGAGCAGUCUCGGUAGGGGCAGUGACAGCUUCUUGCACUGGGUGUUCUGCAGUGGUACCUCCAACGGCCACUGGGUUUUCAGACUCGGUGGGAAUGGUCGAGGGGACAUUUACCUCGUUCUUGACAGUGGAAGAGACACCCUUGCCAACAUCGGUCACAGUUUCAGUAGCUUCUUGGACAACGGAAGACUCGUAUUGCUCAGGUUGCUGAGCACGGACGGGUUGUUCAGCAAAUCUCGCGAUUUCAACCGUUUCGGCGGUGGGAUGAGGAAGGUCCUCCUGUACAGUUUGUUGCACCUCUUCAAAUGCUCCCGGAAUGCCACUAGCACUAGCUCUAGCACUGGUUGUUGCCUCAUGCGUCACACCUCCCUGGCCAAGGGCGAUGGGCGAUUCUUCUUCCACCGUUACUGUGGUGGUAUGGGGGAUGACAUCUGCAUGUGGAAUGUCGCUCGCAUCCUCGAAAACCGUCUCUUGCUGAACGUUUUCACCAAUGCUUUCAAGUACGUUAUCAUUCAUAAUUCCAUCGGCCACUGCAUGUGACUCAGCAGUGGCAGUAGUAGAGGCAGAGGCAACUGCUGCUGUUGUCGUAGCUGCUGCCUGAUCAUGCGUAGUAUUUAUUUCUUUCGAUAUCAUAAUAGCUUCAGGCUCAAUGGGCUUCAAUUCUGGAAUUUCUUUCUCAGCGGUAGUAAUGGGUUGUGAAGUAGCUUUCGCCAUGUUUUCCUCUACUUUCGAAGAAGGUUGCGCAGCAGAUGUCGUUGCUGGCUUAGACGUAAUCGAAGCUGGGGAAUUACCGAGUUGCUCGUCAUUGCGCUGGGGUGCGAAAUGUUCGGCUACGACGUAAUCAGCGGAUUGUGUGGUUGCAGUAGACUUUGUAGAAGCGGAUGAGGAGGAGGAGGAAGGGGAAUUGGCGGGUUCGGUAAUACUUGUAUUGCGUGCUUCCGUAGUUGGCACUGCUGUUGACGUGGAGGCAGAGGGUUUGUUGUCAGUAGGCGGCUCUACAGUACCCAGAGCUGAGGAUGCUAUGGGUUCCAAAGGCUCGUCAACCUGAUCAGCGUCUUUCUCCACUAUAGUUUGUGUAAAUCCUGGCUCUUGUAAUAUGGUUUGUUCUUGUUGUUCCUCUUGCGCGUGCUGAGCUUCUUCCACAGGUGUGGAAGAGGCAGAUGCUGCUGCUGACUGCUUCUUCUUUUUUGCAGCCUUCUUUUUGGCGCGUUUAGCGGCCUUCUUCUUGUUAUCCUUGGUGACGGACGCCUGGGAAGAAUUGUUAUUCUGCUCGACCGCGUUGGUACUUUUCGAAUCCAGCUUCUCCUGGACUCUCGACGUUACUUGGUGAAUUUCAUUUUUCGUCUGUUUAACAAUAUCGGGAUUCGUGGUCAUAUUCAACUCAAUUUUUGUUCUACUUUUACACGCUCUGCGUUCUUGUUUGGUGGUUGGUAGAAGUUGUAAAUCUUGGCGUAACUAGAAUUUAUACGAAACCCUGUUAUGUGAGUGAAAAAAUGCAUAUGUAAACAAAGUUAAUUCAGACGAAAGUAAGACACAAAACAAAACAUUUCUUUACCAAAACAUUGCUUCGCUGAUCAUCUUCUUAAUAUUACAAUUUAUCUCGAGUGCUUAACUUUAUUCUGCAGUAAUUGUCAUUUCUACCCGUUGUGCUUGUUGUGAAUAACCUACCCUACUAAGAACAUUCACAGUAAAUAUGUAGUAUGGAAUAUGGGGAAAAAAAUUUUUCUUGUUUAAGAAAACCUUACGCAUAGUUCGCAACU
This is a non-coding RNA of Schizosaccharomyces pombe (fission yeast), 3147 nucleotides long. Lineage: Eukaryota; Fungi; Ascomycota; Schizosaccharomycetes; Schizosaccharomycetales; Schizosaccharomycetaceae. The record is from the annotation of a GenBank genome assembly.